Molecule: ribosomal RNA, 119 nt
Filed under: Crocodylus porosus (Australian saltwater crocodile)
Lineage: Eukaryota; Metazoa; Chordata; Crocodylia; Crocodylidae
Source: RNAcentral
GCCUGUAGCCAUACUAAAACAAAUGUAUCUGAGCUCAUCUGAUCUCAUGAACUAAGCAGUUCUGAACUUUGCCAGUACUUGGGUGGGAGACCAUUUGAGGAUCCCAUGUAUUGAGUGAU